AAUAAAGGUAGAGGCGCGAUACUUAAGAGUACUAUUGAUGAGGUAAGCACUGUGAGUUAAUAGGAAAGGAAUUAUCGCCGAAGCAUACAACUAAUGCUUUAAGGUUGUAUAGCUGGGGAUGUAUAUAAUAUAUAUAUCACUGUCACAAACUUGUUUUUGUGGUGAGCUAUCAUUUGA
Clostridium disporicum is the source of this 177-nucleotide regulatory RNA element. It matches the Rfam family "Lysine riboswitch aptamer". From Rfam's summary of the family: Riboswitches are metabolite binding domains within certain messenger RNAs that serve as precision sensors for their corresponding targets. The record is from Rfam. Lineage: Bacteria; Bacillati; Bacillota; Clostridia; Eubacteriales; Clostridiaceae.